This 436-nucleotide ribosomal RNA is filed under the name uncultured bacterium. Its description in RNAcentral is "bacterial SSU rRNA". It matches the Rfam family "Bacterial small subunit ribosomal RNA", at positions 110 to 544 of the family's 1533-position model. The record is from RNAcentral.
GUAACGCGUGAGCAACCUACCUCUAUCAGGGGGAUAGCCUCUCGAAAGAGAGAUUAACACCGCAUAACAUCAACAGUUCGCAUGUUCGGUUGAUUAAAUAUUUAUAGGAUAGAGAUGGGCUCGCGUGACAUUAGCUAGUUGGUAGGGUAACGGCUUACCAAGGCGACGAUGUUUAGGGGCUCUGAGAGGAGAAUCCCCCACACUGGUACUGAGACACGGACCAGACUCCUACGGGAGGCAGCAGUAAGGAAUAUUGGUCAAUGGGCGGAAGCCUGAACCAGCCAUGCCGCGUGCAGGAUGACUGCCCUAUGGGUUGUAAACUGCUUUUGUCCAGGAAUAAACCUAAAUACGUGUAUUUAGCUGAAUGUACUGGAAGAAUAAGGAUCGGCUAACUCCGUGCCACCAGCCGCGGUAAUACGGAGGAUCCGAGCGUUAU